GAACACAUUCCUCAGCUCGUCUCUGCGCACUGUUAGCGGGAGGGCUGGCCUCCAGUAGUGGUGAAAGUAAAACAGCACAGUCAAAUAGAAGUAAUUGACUGAAAGCCAUCUCUGGAUAUAUAAUAUCCUGCACUGCUAUGUGGUGUGAGCAAGGCACUGGAUUGCUGACAUUCUCUGCAGAGGAGGGGGGAUUUGGGUGUGCAGAAAAUAGAUCCUUCCUGAGAAGAUGAUCUGGCAGCUGCCUCACACUGCCAGCUUCAAUGACACAACGUCCCCUCCCCCAUGCUGAAGGGGCCAUAAAGGAGAGAGGUAAUUCCAGCAGUUCAGAUAAGGUUGAAAUCUCUCAAAAUUUUCAGUUUGUUGUCUGGCGUUGCGAGAACCUCAGGAGAAGUUAACUUCCUCCUUUUCAUGUUGCUGCAGGGCUGAUGGUUUCAUUUCAAGUAUGAAUAACUGAGUUGAACAAUGUACUGAUUUGAAAGGAGUAUUUACUCAUAAAGAAUACAAUCUCUAUGGUGUCAUCUUCAUCUAGUAGUAUCCAAUUUUAGUGGACAGUAUCCACAUUUUAAGGUAGCACACUAUUUUGUCAGUACAAUGAGCUAGAAACCUGCCUACAAUUUGUUUAUAUGGCUCAAACUAUUGGGAGCUUGCUAAUCUGUGGCACCUUCACUUCCUUCAAACCCUUUGCACUAAUUCAUUUAAAUUGG
This 704-nucleotide long non-coding RNA is filed under the name Gallus gallus (chicken). Lineage: Eukaryota; Metazoa; Chordata; Aves; Galliformes; Phasianidae. The record is from RNAcentral.